GAUGAAGAACGUAGCGAAAUGCGAUACGUAGUGUGAAUUGCAGAAUUCAGUGAAUCAUCGAAUCUUUGAACGCACAUUGCGCCCGCUAGUAUUCUGGCGGGCAUGCCUGUUCGAGCGUCAUUUCAACCCCUUAAGCCUCUGUUGCUUAGUGUUGGGAGCCUACGGCGUCCUGCCGUCGCUCCUCAAAUCCAGUGGCGGAGCCGGUUCGCGCUCUAGGCGUAGUAGAUUUUCUCCAUCUCGUCUACGGCCGGGCCGGCCCUCCUGCCGUAAAAAAACCCCCCCUUACAGAAGGUUGACCUCGAAUCAGGUAGGAAUACCCGCUGAACUUAAGCAUAUCAAUAAGCGGAGGA
This 350-nucleotide unclassified non-coding RNA is filed under the name soil metagenome. Its description in RNAcentral is "partial contains 5.8S ribosomal RNA, internal transcribed spacer 2, and large subunit ribosomal RNA". The stretch from base 1 to 120 matches the Rfam family "5.8S ribosomal RNA", at positions 35 to 154 of the family's 154-position model. The record is from RNAcentral.